AUGGGGUGCGGAUACGGGGUGUGGGGUUGGGGAUGGGGGUGGGAUAGGGGUGCGGAUGGGGGGGUGCGGAUAGGGGGGUGUGGGGGUGUGGAUGGGGGUGGGGGAUGGGGGUGUGGAUGGGGUGCGGACAGGGGGUGUGGGGUUGGGGAUGGGGGUGCGGAUGGGGGGGUGCGGAUAGGGGGGUGUGGGGAUGUGGAUGGGGGUGGGGGGAUGGGGGUGGGAUGGGGUGCGGACAGGGGGUGUGGGGUUGGGGAUGGGGGUGGGAUGGGGGUGCGGAUGGGGGUGUGUGUGGGGGGGUGUGGGGGUGCGGUGUGGAUGGGGUGGGGGUGUUGGGGUGCGGAUAGGGGGUGGGGGGUGCGUUUGGGGGUGUGGAUGGGGGUGCGGUUGGGGGUGGGGAGGAUGGGGGUGCGGAUGGGGGGGCCUGGCGGGAAGAUGUCAGCACCCCGGAGGGGGGGAGGCUCGCCUUCGGGAGGUCUGCGGGGGGAGGCGGUUCCUUGCUUCCUUUCAAAGGGAGACCUGGGCGCAGAGGGGCGGGUUCACCCCGGGGUGGGGGCGGCAAGUUUCCAGCGCAGGGGUGCCGGGGGCGGUCGAGGACAGGCGGGUCACACCCCCAGUCCCGCCGCCGGCGGAGGCGUCCAGGGGAGCCAGUGUCCGGCGCGCCCCCCGCCCCGGGUCCCGCGGGCCCCCCUUCCCCUCCCCCCUCCCCCCGCCCCCCUCCCCCUCCCGCGGGGCCGGGCUCACUCACCCGCGCUCCGGCCUCGGGGUCCCCGGCGGGCGGCGGCGGCGGCGGGCCGGGGGUGCGCGCGGCUGGGGUCGGGGUGCGCGCGGCGGGCGGGGGCGGGGGCGGGCGCGGGGGCCCCGGGCGCGGGCGGCAGGAGCAGCAGCAGCAGCAGCAGCGGCGAGGCCAUGGUGGCGCCCGGCCCCGCUCACAUGCCGGCCGCGGGCGCGGGGAGCGGGCGAGUGAGGCCGGAGCGCAGUCCCCGCCUCAAAAGUUGUGGGGCGCCGCGGGGGGCGGGGCGGGGGCGGGGCGGGGCGGGGCGGGGCGGCUCCCGGCGGCUGCGUCACCCGCGGGCGGGGACUCCGGGCCCCGCGCCCCGCCCCCCGCCCCGGCCUCGCCCCCGGGACCCGGACCCGCGU
This 1137-nucleotide long non-coding RNA is filed under the name Canis lupus familiaris (dog). RNAcentral describes it as "lncRNA (ENSCAFG00040024445.1)". The record is from RNAcentral. Lineage: Eukaryota; Metazoa; Chordata; Mammalia; Carnivora; Canidae.